UCACUAAUAAAAUUUCAUAUAUUUAAUCAUCCAAACUAACCCUAAAUAGAAAACCAAUACCCUUUUAGUUGUUCUUAAAACAAUAUGCUCCAAUUAAAAAUUCUACACCUCUUUUGUGUAAGUGUAUAGAUUAUUAUGAGAAUUAUAAUAACAAGACUAAGAAAAGCAACAUAUGAAAUUGCUCACUCAAAACAUAGAUGAAAUAUGUUAAAAAUAAAUUUGACAAUCUUGAAAAAAUGAUUAUCGAACUCCUCGCUUGCAUCGUGUAUACACAGUACAAGGACGAUAUGAUGGACCGAUAGGUACAAUGCAAUUACCGUAGAUGUUACCAUUACAAACCCCCGGCUUCUGAAUAGCUCCGUAACAUAUGUGACGACGACGAUUGUAUGUUGGUCCUCCUUGAAGGAGACGUUUAGACGAGUGACUGUCUCCGUUUACAUUACGGCCACAGUCUUCAGUUACGGUGGAAUUGCAUAGGGUGGUGGUGACGGCAUUGUUUUGAUCUAAGAAGAAGGAAGUUUCAAAGGCAUAUAUGGGGAAAACAAUAGCAAAGAUUGCAAGAGAAACGGAGAGAAUUCCUCUCGUGAAAUCAUUUCCCAUUGUUGUUCUUUUUUUCGCUUUGAAAUGAUAACUUGCAUAUGCUCCUAUAUGAGGUUAAGUGAUCAUCUAAUUGAUUAGAAUUCCUUUUUCUUUUUUCUUUGUAUUUCCACUAACUUUACUUUAAUGAAGAUUGGUAUCAUCUUUUGCUUUAAUAAAGCACACCAAUGACAUGAGAAUAUAAUAUAAAAAGAUAAAGUAGGUAAAUUAUUUUCUCUUUUUUUUUUUUGGAAAGUUAAAUUAUAUUCUUUUUAUUGUAAUAAUUAGGGAAAAAAAUUGUUUGUAGCUUUAUUGACUUGACCAAGAGAAAAAUACUAACCGAUCAAUACAAAAAACCAAGCUUCCAAGAAGCCGGUAAAUAUAACUAAUUUUCAUAAUUAAAAGUGUUCCACAAUACAAAUAUAUACAUUUUAGAAAAAAAUAUUAAUUUUAUGAAUUAAAAUCUUUACGUAAUCUUAUCAUAGUACUAACUUGGUACAUUUCUAUUAAAAUAAACAUUACUAAUUAAUAUAAAAUAGAGAUCUCGGCCCGUUUAAGUCGAGUUGAGGUUUGAUUUUAAAAACAAAUUCAGGCCUAAGUAUGAGCCUGGCUUGACUUGACCUAUAUAAAAAAUUCAUAUUACUAUUUAAAAUUAGACCUGUUCAUGGGUUGGAUUACUCGCCUAAGCCCAAAGGCCCAUUCAAAAUUUGGGAGGAUUUGGGUAAAAAUAUUAGGUUUGAAAAUGAGCUCGGGUAAAAAGAUUAGGCCCGUUUGAAAUAUGGACCGGGCUCGAGCUUGAACAUUCAAAGUUUGAGUCUGGCCCAAACCGUCCUAUUUUUAAGUUUAUAAUACUUUAUAUUAUGUAAUUUAUAACAUAUUAAAAAAUAACCUAUAUUAAAUAUAUAAUACUACUCUUAUGUAAACAUUAAAAUAAUGUUAAGAUGACUGUAUAAAAAUUUUCAAUAAAUAAAAAGAUUAUUGAAUAUAAAAUGAAAAUGAUAUAAAUAUUUUUUUUAAAUUAAAAAUAAUAUGUGUAGGCCUAAGAUGAGUUUAGGUUAGUCUUUUGUAAAUAUGAGCAGGUUUGGACAAAAUUUUAAACCCAUAUUUUGAGUCAGGCCGAGCUUGACCAAACAUAAAAUAUAUUAAUAUCAAGUUUAGGCUCGACACGAAUCUAACUCGACCUAGCCCAUGAGCAUCUUUAUUUAAAAUUAAUAAAACAUAUAAAAAAAUUUAUUGAUAUUUAUAUAUUUUAUAAUUAAAUUUAAAUAAAAAUAUUUUAAAAAUCAUUUAAUUGAAACUUGAGCUAGAUUGAAGACAAAAAAUCUUAUUCAAACUGAACCCAACUCAAACAAAAUUGACCGAGUCUAACAGAUUACCCAAUCUAUAAACAACUCUACUACAAAAGCUCCAUCACCAAACUCACCCUACACACUUCUCACACACAUAAUCGCUUUAUUUUUCCACAAAGAACAAAUUUAACAACAAAUUUAACUUGGUCGACAUUUUCUUCUUAGCUUGAUGGCAAGAUUAAGAGUUCUUUUGGAUAGGCGGUGUGUUUAUCUGAAGUCAGUGUAAAAAUAAUGGUGGCGGUGAGAAUCUGCAGCAGUACUGUAAUGUGAAACAAAAAAAAAGUUAAAUACACCACAUUGAAAAUAAACUCCAUCCAAAAGGAACCUAAUUAUAUAAAAGUAAAGUUUUCUUUGAGUAAUCUCUUUGUGGCUCAUUUGCUGAGCUUCAAUUUGUUGAUUUUCUUUAACAUGGGCUUUGAUUGUGCUAAUGCAUGGGGGAUCCUUGGUGGUAAUAUUAGGAAUUUUUGAUGAGCUUUCUGACAUUUUCAAAGUGUAGCAAAGAAGGAGGAGGGGGAGGUAUCGUCACUUUCUUUUACAUAUAUAUAUAUACAUUUUAGGUUUGCAAUGACAAAUAUAUAUACAUAUAUAUAUGCGAAUUAGGUGUGCAAGAGAAUGUUAAAUGUGUUCAUUAGAUUAAUGUGUUUAUUUUUAUUUUUUUAGGGUAAGAUGCACAUUAUACAUAUUUAUAUACAUCAAUAGUAUGUUUGGCUAGCUUGUAAUGUUACUAAAGUCGCAUAUGUGAUUGCAUAAUAAUUAUUGUAAUAUGGUUCAGAUGGUUUUAUUAUGUGCUUGUGCAGAAAUUAUGAAAUGCUGUGUUUGAUAUUUAACUAAUGAAAUAUACGAAUGCCAUUAAUAUUAAGGUUAUGUGGUUCGAACAUUAAUCUAAAUUAAGUAUAUGGAAUUUGGCUUUGUUGCAUAUUAGUUGAAUUCGAAUAUGUGGUUAUAUAGAUUAUAUUAAUAUGGUCGAAAUUUGAAGCUAGUUUGUAUAUGUGUUAUAGUAAUAAAGCAUGACACAUUUUAUCUGGUUAUGUGUUCUUUAUGUGCAAAAAUUUAAUUAACAUGAUUUUGGUGGAUGAUUGAUAUUGGAUAUAGAAGUUGGUACAAUCAUGUGUAUAAAAAUGAUAAAUGACUAUGCGAAACUGUGUUUUAUCCGGUAAUGCCUCGUAACUCUAAUUUAGCGACGGAUACGGGUUAGGGGUGUUACAAGUACUUUUGAUUCAAAAGGGUACAAAUACACAGCUAAAAGUGGGGUUUUUAAUAUUUCCAAAGGUUCCCUCGUUGUGAUGAAAGGGAAGAGAAAGACUGCCAAGUUAUAUGUUUUGCAGAAUUGGCAUGGCAGAAUUGAGCAAAAGAGGACUUCUUGAUAGGCAAUGAUUUUGCAAACUGAAGUUCUGUGAGCACUGCAUUUUUGGGAAGCAAAAGAGAGUUUGAUUCACCACAGGAAUCCAUAACACGAAGGGACCAUUGGAGUAUAUUCAUUCUGAUCUGUGGGGGCCAUCCAGAGUGCCUUCGAGAGGUGGAGCUAAUUAUAUGCUAACUUUUAUUGAUGAUUUUUUCAGAAAAUUUUAGGCGUUCUUCUUGAAGUAGAAAAGUGAUGUGUUUUCCGCAUUUAAGUCUUGGAAAACUAUGAUUGAAAAACAGACUGGAAAAAAAAUAAAAUACCUUUGCACAGAUAAUGGCUUAGAGUUCUGUUUUGAUGAGUUUAAUAAACUGUGCAAGUCAGAAGGGAUCGUGAGACUCUUGACAGUUCGUCAUACUUCACAGCAAAACGGCGUUACAGAACGGAUGAACAGAACGAUCAUGGAGAAGGUUCGAUGUAUGUUGUCAAAUGUCAACUUACCAAAGUCAUUUUGGACCGAAGCAGCCUCUACUAUAUUUUUUUGAUCAAUCGAUCUCCAUCCAUUGCCAUUGAGAAAAAGACUCCACAAGAGGUAUGGUCUGGUAAUCUUGCUGACUAUUCUGAUUUAAAGAUCUUUGGGUGUCCUGCAUAUGCUCACGUUGAUAAUGGAAAAUUAGAAUCGAGAUCCAUUAAAUGUGUUUUUAUUGGUUAUAAAGUUAGUGUAAAAGGGUAUAAGUUAUGGUGUCCUGGAAAUAAAAAAGUUGUGAUUAGCAGAGAUGUUUUUGAUAAAACUGCUAUGCUACCUAACUUAUCUCUUAAAGACUCUUCAAAUAAAGAAAAUCAAAAGCAAUUGAGCAUCAGAUUAAUCUAGAAUCUACAACAAAGUAGACUCCACAAGCCAGUACAAAAAUCUAAAAUAGAGUUGCUUCUUCACCACAAUACUCUAUCGCCAAAAAUAGAAUUAGAAGAGAAAUUAAACCUCCAAAGAAGUAUGUUGAGGUUGAUCUAGUUACUUAUGCUUUAAAUGUGGCUGAAGAUAUAGAUGCAAACCAAGAGUCAUCUAAUUAUUCUGAUGCGGUUAGCUAUGAAGACUCAGAAAAGUGGAUGUUUGUUAUGUAAGAGGAGAUGGAAUCACUUCACAAAAACAAAACAUGAGAUCUUGUGAAAUUUCCUAAAGGUAAAAAGGUUGUUCGUUGUAAAUGAGUGUUUAAAAAGAAAGAAGGAGCUCUAGGAGUUGAAGAACCCAUAUAUAAAGUAAGACUUGUUGCAAAGGGUUACAGUCAAAUUCCAGGAGUGGACUUCACAGAUGUAUUCUCCCAAGUUGUGAAGCAUAGUUCGAUUCGGGUUUUGCUUGGUAUUGUGGCCAUGCAUGAUUUGGAGCUUGAGCAGUUAGAUGUAAAAACUGCAUUUUUGCAUGGAGAACUUGAGAAGGAUAUUUACAUGCAACAACCAGAGGGUUUUACAGUCUUAGAAAAAGAGGACUAUGUUUGCUUACUGAAAAAGUCCCUUUACGGUUUGAAAUAGUCACCAAGAUAGUGGUAUAAGAGGUUUGAUUCAUUUAUGUCUUCCCAUGACUUUAAAAGAAGUAGCUUUGACAGUUGUGUUUACUUUAAGAAAAACAGUGGUGGUUCUUUUGUGUAUCUACUCCUUUAUGUUGAUGACACGUUGAUAGUAGCAAAAGAUAAAGGAAAGAUAAGAAAGGUCAAAGCCUAACUAAGUAAAGAAUUUGAGAUGAAAGAUUUGAGACUAGAAAAGAAGAUACUUGGUAUGGAGAUUCUCAGAGAUAGAAAAGCAAGUAAAUUGUACCUAAGUUAGAAGUGGUACAUUGAGAAAGUUCUUUGCAGAUUCAAUAUGCAGAAUGCUAAGCCUGUUAGUACUCAUUUAGCAUCCCAUUUCAGACUUUCAUCAGCUUUGUCUUCAUAAUUAGAUGAUGAGAUUGAGUACAUGUCACAUGUUCCAUACUCUAAUGCAGUGGGAUCUCUCAUGUAUGCUUGGUUUGUUCACGUCUAGAUUUAUCAUAUGCAGUCAGUGCAGUUAGCAAAUAAAUGGCGAAUCUUGUAAAGAACAUUAGAAAGCAGUUCAAUGGAUUUUAAGAUAUUUACGAGGUACUCCUGAUGUUUGCUUACAGUUUGGAAGAACUAAAGAUUGAGUCAUUGGGUAUGUUGAUGCUGAUUUUGUUGGAGACCUUGAUAAAAGAAGAUCUCUCACAGGUUAUGUCUUUACAAUCAGAGGUUGUGCAAUCAGUUGAAAAGCCACUUUGCAAACUACAGUUGCUUUGUCUACCACUGAAACUAAGUACAUGGCAAUUACUGAGGCUUGUAAAGAAGCUAUUUGGUUGAAAGGACUCUUCAAUGAACUUAAUAAAGACCUUCAAAUCAAUAUAGUAUUUCGUGAUAGUCAAAGUGCCAUCUUCCUUACAAAAGAUCAAAUAUUUCAUGAGAGAACAAAACACAUUGAUGUUUGGUAUCAUUUUGUUCAUGAUAUUAUUGCUCGUGGUGAUAUUUUUGUGAGCAAAAUUAGUACUCAUGAAAAUCCUGCAGAUAUGAUGACUAAGUCACUUCUUAUAACCAAGUUUGAGCAUUGACUAAACUUGAUUGGUGUUCAUUGUUGAAGUUAAACCCUUAAGGGGUUUUAUGGAAGAGGUGUAGAAAUUGUUCAUUGAGAGUUCACGAUGAAGAACUUGUUCGUAGAGAAUUCGUGUCAAGGUGGAGAUUGUUAGAGUUGUGUGACCCAAAUUCUAAGAGAUUACUUGCAAGUCAAGUUAAACAAAAUAUAUCUUAUUUCUAGAAGAUUUAGUAUUUAUAAGUAUAAUAUAUUUAACAUUUAUUAGCAUAAUAUAUUUGAUUUUGAUUAGAAUUAGGUUUUUUUUUCAACCUAAUAGAUGUAGUCGAAACUCCUCUUCAAAUCAUUCGAAUUCAACAUAGGGAAUUUUCUUCUCCUUUGCCCGUGAUUUUUUCCCGAAAGGGUUUCCACGUAAAAUCUGUGUUCUUUAUUUUUAUUUCUCUUUUCUUUGUAAUAUAUUGUCAUUACCGAUGUUCUAUUUUCAUAGUGUAUAGAUUAUUAUGAGAAUUAUAAUAACAAGAUUAAGAAAAGCAACAUAUGAAAUUGCUUACUCAAAACAUAGAUGAAAUAAGCUAAAAACAAAUUUGACAAUCUUGAAAAACUGAUUACCGAACUCCUCGCUUGCAUUGUGUAUACAGAAUACAAGGACGAUAUGAUGGACCGAUAGGUACAAUGCAAUUACCGUAGAUGUUACCAUUACAAACCCCCGGCUUUUGAAUAGCUCCGUAAUAUAUGUGACGACGACGAUUAUAUGUUGGUCCUCCUUGAAGGAGACAUUUAGAUGAGUGACUAUCUCUGUUUACAUUACGGCCACAAUCUUCGGUUACAGUGGAAUUGCAUAGGGUGGUGGUGAUGGCAUUGUUUUGAUCUAAGAAGAUGGAAGUUUCAAAGGCAUAUAUGGGGAAAACAAUAGCAAAGAUUGCAAAAGAAACAGAGAGAAAUCCUCUUGUGAAAUCAUUUCCCAUUGUUGUUAUUUUUUUUUUCCUUUGAAAUGAUAAUUUGCAUAUGCUCCUGAGGUUUAAG
This 6849-nucleotide long non-coding RNA is filed under the name Gossypium raimondii (Peruvian cotton). RNAcentral's name for it is "long non-coding RNA (GRAI_LNC000154)". Lineage: Eukaryota; Viridiplantae; Streptophyta; Magnoliopsida; Malvales; Malvaceae. The record is from RNAcentral.